This 310-nucleotide ribosomal RNA is filed under the name uncultured bacterium. RNAcentral's name for it is "bacterial SSU rRNA". It matches the Rfam family "Bacterial small subunit ribosomal RNA", at positions 28 to 334 of the family's 1533-position model. The record is from RNAcentral.
GAUGAACGCUAGCUACAGGCUUAACACAUGCAAGUCGAGGGGCAGCAUGACCUAGCAAUAGGUUGAUGGCGACCGGCGCACGGGUGAGUAACACGUAUCCAACCUGCCGAUUAUUCCGGGAUAGCCUUUCGAAAGAAAGAUUAAUACUGGAUAGCAUAACGAGAAGGCAUCUUCUUGUUAUUAAAGAAUUUCGAUAAUCGAUGGGGAUGCGUUCCAUUAGUUUGUUGGCGGGGUAACGGCCCACCAAGACAUCGAUGGAUAGGGGUUCUGAGAGGAAGGUCCCCCACAUUGGAACUGAGACACGGUCCAA